GAAGUCGGAAUCCGCUAAGGAGUGUGUAACAACUCACCUGCCGAAGUUACUAGCCCUGAAAAUGGAUGGCGCUGAAGCAUCGUACUUAUACUUAACCGUCGGGACAGUAGCAACAUUUGUUUUUCAUAUAUGUAUGUCCAAGUGUUAUUAGGUCCCGACGAGUAGGAUGGUCGCAACGGUGAGCGCAGAAGGAUUGGGCGUGAGCCUGUCUGGAGCCACCGUUGGUGCAGAUCUUGGUGGUAGUAGCAAAUACUCCAGCGAGGCCCUGGAGGACUGAUGUGGAGAAGGGUUUCGUGUGAACAGCCGUUGCACACGAGUCAGUCGAUCCUAAGCCCUAGGUGAAAACCAAUGUUGAUGUGGUGUGUUUAAAUAAA
RNAcentral lists this ribosomal RNA (374 nucleotides) under Blackburnia depressa. RNAcentral's name for it is "eukaryotic LSU rRNA". It matches the Rfam family "Eukaryotic large subunit ribosomal RNA", at positions 1257 to 1590 of the family's 3401-position model. RNAcentral also lists the same sequence under 1 other name. The record is from RNAcentral. Lineage: Eukaryota; Metazoa; Arthropoda; Insecta; Coleoptera; Carabidae.